UCCCAACCAGUGUUUCCAGCCGACUUUCUUGUGACUAAGACCUCCAAGCCACUUAGAAGGCCAGGGAAAUCAGGGGAUGUGGCCGAAACCAUGAUGCCUUCAUGUGUGUUAUGCUUCUGUAACAUAAUACUGCAGGCUGGGUCGUUUAUGAACAACAGGAAUAAUGACUCUGGUAGGUGGGAAGUCCAAGGACAGGUAGUGUCAUCUGGCUGCUGUCUGUGCUAUACAUGUCCUAACAUGGUGGUGAGGGCAGGAAGGAGGUCUGAGAAGAUGAAGUGGAAGGUAGCAGGCCACAGCCAAAGGAUGAUCUGUUUCUGCUGCAAGUAGAUUAAGUGCCGUUUUCUGACAGUAUCAAGGCUUCAACUCUCCCCAGUCCUCAGCCUGUGACAUCCUCUCAGACUUUACGGCUUAGAUGCCUUGGGAUGAAAGGUGGAAUGUGAAGGGCAUCCAUAAGAACUGUUUUGACCGGAGCUCCUCAGGCAUCACCCUUCCUUCUGAAGCAGCGACUCACCUGGUCUCACAAGAAUCAGAGUACUCGCAAGACUUCUGCCUGACCAAGAUAAAAAAAGGAAAAAAAAAAAAAAAAAAAGCCUGUGCACAUUAUUUUUUUCCCUCUUAAUUUUAUAAAUGCCAAUGUCUAUGGAACCCAAAACAGGGAAUGACAUUCUGACCAGCCAAUUUUCUCACUGAAGCUUGUACAAGGGGAAAUUUUCUUUGCUUCCUAUUUUUAUGCUGUCUUCUAGUGUUGCUGGCACGGGUAACAAUCACACUUGGCGCUUCUGUCUUUUCUGUCAUCCAAAGAUUUCAAAAUGCUGUGUGGAGGGGGCGGUGGCAUGUUCAUUCUCACAGCGGGAGGGGAGAGAGGUCAGCUCUGUUGUUCCUGGUGAGCAACUAGGAUGCAGAGGUGAUGUGACUUAGAUGCCUGCUCUACAGAGCA
Molecule: non-coding RNA, 937 nt
Organism: Peromyscus maniculatus bairdii (prairie deer mouse)
Lineage: Eukaryota; Metazoa; Chordata; Mammalia; Rodentia; Cricetidae
Source: RefSeq, a predicted model, not a curated record